RNAcentral lists this ribosomal RNA (608 nucleotides) under Dolichospermum sp. LEGE 00263. Its description in RNAcentral is "bacterial SSU rRNA". It matches the Rfam family "Bacterial small subunit ribosomal RNA", at positions 98 to 739 of the family's 1533-position model. The record is from RNAcentral. Lineage: Bacteria; Bacillati; Cyanobacteriota; Cyanophyceae; Nostocales; Aphanizomenonaceae.
UCGGACGGGGUGGUAACGCGUGAGAAUCUACCUUCAGGUUGGGGACAACCACUGGAAACGGUGGCUAAUACCGAAUGUGCCGAGAGGUGAAAGGCUUGCUGCCUGAAGAAGAGCUUGCGUCUGAUUAGCUAGUUGGUAGUGUAAGAGACUACCAAGGCGACGAUCAGUAGCUGGUCUGAGAGGAUGAUCAGCCACACUGGGACUGAGACACGGCCCAGACUCCUACGGGAGGCAGCAGUGGGGAAUUUUCCGCAAUGGGCGAAAGCCUGACGGAGCAAUACCGCGUGAGGGAGGAAGGCUCUUGGGUUGUAAACCUCUUUUCUCAGGGAAGAACAGAAUGACGGUACCUGAGGAAUAAGCAUCGGCUAACUCCGUGCCAGCAGCCGCGGUAAUACGGAGGAUGCAAGCGUUAUCCGGAAUGAUUGGGCGUAAAGGGUCCGCAGGUGGCAUUGUAAGUCUGCUGUUAAAGAGUUUGGCUCAACCAAAUAAGAGCAGUGGAAACUACAAAGCUAGAGUGUGGUCGGGGCAGAGGGAAUUCCUGGUGUAGCGGUGAAAUGCGUAGAUAUCAGGAAGAACACCAGUGGCGAAGGCGCUCUGCUAGGCCGAGA